Molecule: long non-coding RNA, 1251 nt
Filed under: Meleagris gallopavo (turkey)
Lineage: Eukaryota; Metazoa; Chordata; Aves; Galliformes; Phasianidae
Description: lncRNA (ENSMGAG00000022599.1)
Source: RNAcentral
AUGCGGCCCAUGUCACCCACUGCCGCCGCCGCGGUGAACAGGAAGAGCUGCCGGGGGUACCCAUGGUGCAGGGGCUGUGCCAGCGCCCAACUCAGCGCUGCCAGGAGGUCAGGGCUGCCCGCGGCCACCGCAGCUCACCCAGGUGGCAGCAGGCCCGCUGCAGCGUCUCCUGCCCGUCAGGACAGCCGGCUCGUGGGGACGGCACCAGGUGGCCAUCCGCAGCAGGGUCGGGCGGGGAGGAUGGAGGGGGACAGAGGGUCCCCCACAGCACUCACAUUGCUGCAGAGGCGGCUUGAGGGGAAGAGCGGCUGCAGGUCGGUACCGAAGGUUGCCACGUUGAGCAGAGUUCUUGGGGGGAGGCUCUUCAGGGCCACCACCAGCGCUUCCUGGGGAUGGGGACAGCCAUCAGGACUCACAGCUCGGUGCGGGGCCCCUGUGCUCACCGCCCUGCCUCACCUUGAGCCUGUCGACAUCAGGGUCGCUCACGGCUCCACUGCGAUCUAUGAGGAAGAGGACCUCACGGGUGACACUAUGCAGGGCCCCUGGGGUGGCCUCCACCUCCGGGCAGAAGUUGAGCAUCAGCACGGGGUUGUGGAAGAUGUCCUUGUGGAAACGCUUCUGCACAAAAGCCACCUGCAAGGGGUGGGAGGCUUCCUCGCAUCCCUUGGCCUCACAAUCAACCCACGCCAGGGCCUUCCUCACCACCUCCACCAUCACCACCCUCUUCUUCCUCCCAGCCACAGCCAUGCCUGCUCACCUGUCUCUCCCCACUGCCAUCCCUCCUGGCUAUCCGCACGUAGUCCCGGCGGCUCCGGAUGUGUGCCUCAUACUCGGGGUACGUCAUGGUGCCUUCCUCCAUCACCAGGUGGGGCUGGUGGGGCUCUGCAAAAGUGUUCACAUUUGCCCCUUGCUUUGGGGGCAAGCCCACCCACCCCUGGACCCGCUGCACCUGCAGCCCUUACCACAGGGGUAGAGGAUGAUCUCCACAUUCCUGUCAUAGUGGUGACGUUCGGCCAGGGUGACACAGGUGGUGGUGGCAGAGCUGGCCCACGGGUCGGCAUCGGCACGCAGCUCAUGGGUUGGGCUCUCCAGGCCUGGAGGGGGCACAGACCCACUUGGAUCUGGUCUCGAGGAAGCCACCAGCCAGCGCUGAUGGGAUUCGUGCUGAUGGCAGCCAGCAGCACCCUGGCUGCCCGAUGUGCCCCUGCAGCCUCCAUCCAUCACACCCCCUCUGAGGAUGCAGGCUGCUGA